This 773-nucleotide ribosomal RNA is filed under the name uncultured Neocallimastigales. Its description in RNAcentral is "partial large subunit ribosomal RNA". It matches the Rfam family "Eukaryotic large subunit ribosomal RNA", at positions 20 to 643 of the family's 3401-position model. The record is from RNAcentral. Lineage: Eukaryota; Fungi; Neocallimastigomycota; Neocallimastigomycetes; Neocallimastigales.
UACUAGAGUAGCACUCGCAUAUCAAUAAGCGGAGGAAAAGAAACUAACGAGGAUUCCCCUAGUAACGGCGAGUGAAGCGGGAAGAGCUCAAAUUUGAAAUCUUAAAGGGUUUCCCUUUACGAAUUGUAGUUUAAAGAAGUGUUUUCUGUUGAGGUUUUGGUAAAAGUUCUUUGGAAUAGGACAUCAUAGAGGGUGAGAAUCCCGUAUUUGACCUUUACUUUCAACUUUGUGAUACACUUUCAAAGAGUCGGAUUGUUUGGGAAUGCAGUCCAAAAUGGGUGGUAAAUUUCAUCUAAAGCUAAAUAUUGGCGAGAGACCGAUAGCGAACAAGUACCGUGAGGGAAAGAUGAAAAGAACUUUGAAAAGAGAGUUAAACAGUACGUGAAAUUGUCAAAAGGGAAGCGUUUGACACCAGUGUUGUUUUUCUGAAAAUCAAUUAAAGAACUGUUUAUGCUAAGUUGUUUAGACUUUAUCAGCUAUCUGCUUAGUUUUGAGCUUUUCUUUAAUGCACUUUUCAGUUAACAAGUCAACAUCAAUUUCUUUUGCUGUAAAAAAGCUUGAGGAAGGUGGCUUGAGAUUCGUCUUAAGUGUUUAUAGCCUCUUGCCUAUGCAGUCGGAGAGAUUGAGGUCUGCAGCGUAGAUCCUUCGGGGCUAAAUGCAUUUGUGCUAAGUUAUAGCAUUUUAUAGACAACUUGUUGACUAUGAUUUGUCUUGUAGCUUACUCGCUUAUGUUAUUUUACCUACGCUUAGGAUGUUGAACUACUGAGACAUAG